RNAcentral lists this ribosomal RNA (492 nucleotides) under uncultured bacterium. Its description in RNAcentral is "partial 16S ribosomal RNA". It matches the Rfam family "Bacterial small subunit ribosomal RNA", at positions 29 to 507 of the family's 1533-position model. The record is from RNAcentral.
AGUGAACGCUGGCGGUAGGCCUAACACAUGCAAGUCGAACGGCAGCACAGUAAGAGCUUGCUCUUACGGGUGGCGAGUGGCGGACGGGUGAGGAAUACAUCGGAAUCUACUUUUUCGUGGGGGAUAACGUAGGGAAACUUACGCUAAUACCGCAUACGACCUACGGGUGAAAGCAGGGGAUCUUCGGACCUUGCGCGAUUGAAUGAGCCGAUGUCGGAUUAGCUAGUUGGCGGGGUAAGGGCCCACCAAGGCGACGAUCCGUAGCUGGUCUGAGAGGAUGAUCAGCCACACUGGAACUGAGACACGGUCCAGACUCCUACGGGAGGCAGCAGUGGGGAAUAUUGGACAAUGGGCGCAAGCCUGAUCCAGCCAUACCGCGUGGGUGAAGAAGGCCUUCGGGUUGCAAAGCCCUUUUGUUGGGAAAGAAAAGCAGCAGGUUAAUACCCCGCUGUUCUGACGGUACCCAAAGAAUAAGCACCGGCUAACUUCGUG